UACGUAGGUGGAAGAUUAAGUCAGUGGUGAAAUCCUGCAGCUUAACUGUAGAACUGUCAUUGAUACUGGUUUUCUUGAAUUUAGUUGAGGUAGGCGGAAUGUGUAAUGUAGCGGUGAAAUGCUUAGAUAUUACACAGAACACCGAUUGCGAAGGCAGCUUACUAAACUAUGAUUGACGCUGAGGUACGAAAGCGUGGGGAGCGAACAGGAUUAGAUACCCUGGUAGUCC
This 229-nucleotide ribosomal RNA is filed under the name uncultured bacterium. Its description in RNAcentral is "partial 16S ribosomal RNA". It matches the Rfam family "Bacterial small subunit ribosomal RNA", at positions 568 to 796 of the family's 1533-position model. The record is from RNAcentral.